Molecule: long non-coding RNA, 893 nt
Filed under: Nicotiana tabacum (common tobacco)
Lineage: Eukaryota; Viridiplantae; Streptophyta; Magnoliopsida; Solanales; Solanaceae
Description: long non-coding RNA (NTAB_LNC009903)
Source: RNAcentral
AGUAAAGUUCAAAUUGCUAUUAUCAUCAAUCAAUAAGAUCAUUGUUCGAAUUUACACAGUAUUGAGGCAUUCACUGACCACAAUUACAGUAAUUAGCAACAAACAUGAAAAUUAAGACUUGAUGGUACAGAGCAAAAACUCAGAUCAAAUAAUACUGGGAGCUGAAAAUGUACAACCAAAAACAGUACAACACCAUAUGAAUUUGAUCAUAGCUAUUCUAUUUGUCUUGCCUAUGCUCUCUUGUCACCGGUUGCAUACGACAGCUCUAUUGGCUCAAUAGAUUUCCCAGCAUCUGAUAGGAAAUCAUACUUGAGGAAACUAAGUUACUUGUAUUUUGAAGGCAAAACACCAAGAAAGUCUCAGCUGAUCUUAGGCUUGGCUCUUCUAGGCUUUAGCACAAGCCAAAGAACAAAGAAAACAACUAGGAAAGCAGGUAUCAUAUAUUGUCAUGUCAAACUCGACUUUAACAUUCCUCUGCCGGAUGCAAUAUUUUAAUGGAGACUGUCUAGAGUUGUAUCAAUAUAAUUUACGAACCUGCAUAAUAGACAAGAUCAUUUUAGCAAACAAGUUGAGAGAAACACGUGUUGAGUGAAAAGUGAAGACACUUUUGCAUGCCAAAUUAAUGUUGCUUAAUGCUUGCUAAGCAUCGUCCUCGAUAAAAUAUCAUAUAAACGUGUGACUCCCAUAUGCAGUAAAUCAAGGUAUUCUACUAUGUACUAUCUCAAAUUGGUUACACAUGUAAGUGCAAGACUAACAAUAAGGAUGUCAUCACUCAUCAGGUAGGGGUAAGUGUAGUGCAGCACAUCAGUGAUUGUCACACAACAAACGAAAGAUGCUAACCCUUUUACCGCAUCCUCUAAGGUAUGGACAAGUCUCAAGGCAUCCACAUAACA